This 482-nucleotide ribosomal RNA is filed under the name uncultured bacterium. RNAcentral describes it as "bacterial SSU rRNA". It matches the Rfam family "Bacterial small subunit ribosomal RNA", at positions 30 to 507 of the family's 1533-position model. The record is from RNAcentral.
AUUGAACGCUGGCGGCAUGCCUUACACAUGCAAGUCGAACGGUAACGCGGGGCAACCUGGCGACGAGUGGCGAACGGGUGAGUAAUAUAUCGGAACGUGCCCAAUAGUGGGGGAUAGCCCGGCGAAAGCCGGAUUAAUACCGCAUACGACCUGAGGGUGAAAGCGGGGGAUCGCAAGACCUCGCGCUAUUGGAGCGGCCGAUAUCAGAUUAGGUAGUUGGUGGGGUAAAGGCCUACCAAGCCUACGAUCUGUAGCUGGUCUGAGAGGACGACCAGCCACACUGGGACUGAGACACGGCCCAGACUCCUACGGGAGGCAGCAGUGGGGAAUUUUGGACAAUGGGCGCAAGCCUGAUCCAGCCAUGCCGCGUGCGGGAAGAAGGCCUUCGGGUUGUAAACCGCUUUUGUCAGGGAAGAAAUCUUCUGGGUUAAUACCUCGGGAGGAUGACGGUACCUGAAGAAUAAGCACCGGCUAACUACGUG